UGGGGAAUUUUGGACAAUGGGCGAAAGCCUGAUCCAGCCAUGCCGCGUGAGUGAAGAAGGCCUUCGGGUUGUAAAGCUCUUUUAGUCGGAAAGAAAGAGUUGCAAUGAAUAAUUGUGAUUUAUGACGGUACCGACAGAAAAAGCACCGGCUAACUACGUGCCAGCAGCCGCGGUAAUACGUAGGGUGCGAGCGUUAAUCGGAAUUACUGGGCGUAAAGGGUGCGCAGGCGGUCUUGAAAGUCAGAUGUGAAAGCCCCGGGCUUAACCUGGGAAUUGCGUUUGAAACUACAAGACUAGAGGGCAGCAGAGGGGAGUGGAAUUCCAUGUGUAGCAGUGAAAUGCGUAGAGAUGUGGAAGAACACCGAUGGCGAAGGCAGCUCCCUGGGUUGACACUGACGCUCAUGCACGAAAGCGUGGGGAGCAAACA
Molecule: ribosomal RNA, 427 nt
Filed under: uncultured bacterium
Lineage: Bacteria
Description: bacterial SSU rRNA
Rfam family: Bacterial small subunit ribosomal RNA
Source: RNAcentral